This 903-nucleotide ribosomal RNA is filed under the name uncultured fungus. Its description in RNAcentral is "eukaryotic LSU rRNA". The stretch from base 243 to 903 matches the Rfam family "Eukaryotic large subunit ribosomal RNA", at positions 1 to 667 of the family's 3401-position model. The record is from RNAcentral. Lineage: Eukaryota; Fungi.
GAAAUUCUCAAGCCGUGGAUGCUUUUUGUAAAGUGUUCUCAGCUUGGUUAUUGGGCUUUGCCGUGUCCUUUUGGGAUGGCUGGCCUUAAAAGCAUUAGCUGAUCCUCAUGAUGGCAUUGGUUCUACUCAGCGUGAUAAUAAACUGACCGCUGAGGACAUCUUUCGGGGUGGCCAAUUCUCGUUUGGGUUGCUCUCUAAUCUGGUUUAUGGGUUGCUAAUAACAAUCCGUUCCAUUUUCAGUUUGACCUCGAAUCAGGUGGGACUACCCGCUGAACUUAAGCAUAUCAAUAAGCGGAGGAAAAGAAACUAACAAGGAUUCCCCUAGUAACGGCGAGUGAAGCGGGAAAAGCUCAAAUUUAAAAUCUGGCAGUCUUCGAUUGUCCGAGUUGUAAUCUAGAGAAGUGUUUUCCGUGCUGGACUGUGUACAAGUUUCCUGGAUACGGAACAUCAUAGAGGGUGAGAAUCCCGUCCUUGACACAGACUCCCAGUGCUUUGUGAUGCGCUCUCGACGAGUCGAGUUGUUUGGGAUUGCAGCUCAAAAUGGGAGGUAAAUUCCUUCUAAAGCUAAAUAUUGGCGAGAGACCGAUAGCGAACAAGUACCGUGAGGGAAAGAUGAAAAGCACUUUGGAAAGAGAGUUAAACAGUACGUGAAAUUGUUAAAAGGGAAACGCUUGAAGUCAGUCACGUUUGCUUGGACUCAGCCUCACUUCGGUUUGGUGCAUUUCCUUGCAGACGGGCCAACGUCCAUGCUGUUCGUCGGAGAAGGGGUGAAAGAGUGUGGCUCCUCCGGGAGUGUUAUAGCUUUCAUUCGUAUACGGGGAACAAUAUGGAGUGGUACAGCAUGCUUCGGUGGUGCUUGUGUUGGCAUAAUGGCUUUAAACGACCCGUCUUGAAACACGGACC